This 502-nucleotide ribosomal RNA is filed under the name Escherichia coli. RNAcentral describes it as "partial 23S ribosomal RNA". It matches the Rfam family "Bacterial large subunit ribosomal RNA", at positions 2238 to 2739 of the family's 2925-position model. The record is from RNAcentral. RNAcentral also lists the same sequence under 6 other names. Lineage: Bacteria; Pseudomonadati; Pseudomonadota; Gammaproteobacteria; Enterobacterales; Enterobacteriaceae.
AUCCGGGUUGCGGACAGUGUCUGGUGGGUAGUUUGACUGGGGCGGUCUCCUCCUAAAGAGUAACGGAGGAGCACGAAGGUUGGCUAAUCCUGGUCGGACAUCAGGAGGUUAGUGCAAUGGCAUAAGCCAGCUUGACUGCGAGCGUGACGGCGCGAGCAGGUGCGAAAGCAGGUCAUAGUGAUCCGGUGGUUCUGAAUGGAAGGGCCAUCGCUCAACGGAUAAAAGGUACUCCGGGGAUAACAGGCUGAUACCGCCCAAGAGUUCAUAUCGACGGCGGUGUUUGGCACCUCGAUGUCGGCUCAUCACAUCCUGGGGCUGAAGUAGGUCCCAAGGGUAUGGCUGUUCGCCAUUUAAAGUGGUACGCGAGCUGGGUUUAGAACGUCGUGAGACAGUUCGGUCCCUAUCUGCCGUGGGCGCUGGAGAACUGAGGGGGGCUGCUCCUAGUACGAGAGGACCGGAGUGGACGCAUCACUGGUGUUCGGGUUGUCAUGCCAAUGGCACU